This 428-nucleotide ribosomal RNA is filed under the name Chloroflexota bacterium. RNAcentral describes it as "Chloroflexi bacterium partial 16S ribosomal RNA". It matches the Rfam family "Bacterial small subunit ribosomal RNA", at positions 355 to 776 of the family's 1533-position model. Lineage: Bacteria; Bacillati; Chloroflexota. The record is from RNAcentral.
UGGGGAAUAUUGCACAAUGGGCGCAAGCCUGAUGCAGCCAUGCCGCGUGUAUGAAGAAGGCCUUCGGGUUGUAAGUACUUUCAGCGGGGAGGAAGGGAGUAAAGUUAAUACCUUUGCUCAUUGACGUUACCCGCAGAAGAAGCACCGGCUAACUCCGUGCCAGCAGCCGCGGUAAUACGGAGGGUGCAAGCGUUAAUCGGAAUUACUGGGCGUAAAGCGCACGCAGGCGGUUUGUUAAGUCAGAUGUGAAAUCCCCGGGCUCAACCUGGGAACUGCAUCUGAUACUGGCAAGCUUGAGUCUCGUAGAGGGGGGUAGAAUUCCAGGUGUAGCGGUGAAAUGCGUAGAGAUCUGGAGGAAUACCGGUGGCGAAGGCGGCCCCCUGGACGAAGACUGACGCUCAGGUGCGAAAGCGUGGGGAGCAAACAGG